GAUGAACGCUGGCGGCGUGCUUAACACAUGCAAGUCGAACGGUGAAGCGCCUUCCUUUUUGGUGGGUGUGGAUGAGUGGCGAACGGGUGAGUAACACGUGAGUAACCUGCCCCCUUCUUCUGGAUAACCGCAUGAAAGUGUGGCUAAUACGGGAUAUUCUGGGUCUGUCGCAUGAUGGGUCUGGGAAAGAUAUUGUUUCGGUGGGGGAUGGGCUCGCGGCCUAUCAGCUUGUUGGUGGGGUGAUGGCCUACCAAGGCGGUGACGGGUAGCCGGCCUGAGAGGGUGGACGGUCACACUGGGACUGAGACACGGCCCAGACUCCUACGGGAGGCAGCAGUGGGGAAUAUUGCACAAGGGGCGCAAGCCUGAUGCAGCGACGCCGCGUGAGGGAUGGAGGCCUUCGGGUUGUGAACCUCUUUCGCCAGUGAAGCAGGCCUGCCUCGUUUGUGGGUGGGUUGACGGUAGCUGGAUAAGAAGCGCCGGCUAACUACGUG
This 494-nucleotide ribosomal RNA is filed under the name uncultured bacterium. RNAcentral's name for it is "partial 16S ribosomal RNA". It matches the Rfam family "Bacterial small subunit ribosomal RNA", at positions 28 to 507 of the family's 1533-position model. The record is from RNAcentral.